AGUGAACGCUGGCGGUAGGCCUAACACAUGCAAGUCGAACGGCAGCACAGUAAGAGCUUGCUCUUACGGGUGGCGAGUGGCGGACGGGUGAGGAAUACAUCGGAAUCUACUUUUUCGUGGGGGAUAACGUAGGGAAACUUACGCUAAUACCGCAUACGACCUACGGGUGAAAGUAGGGGAUCUUCGGACCUUGCGCGAUUGAAUGAGCCGAUGUCGGAUUAUCUAGUUGGCGGGGUAAAGGCCCACCAAGGCGACGAUACGUAGCUGGUCUGAGAGGAUGAUCAGCCACACUGGAAAUGAGACACGGUCCAGACUCCUAAGGGAGGAAGCAGUGGGGAAUAUGGGACAAUGGGCGAAAGCCUGAUCGAGCAAUACCGCGUGGGUGAAGAAGGCAUUCGGGUGGUAAAGCCCUUUUGUAGGGAAAGAAAAGCAGAAGGUUAAUACCCCGCUGUUCUGACGGUACACAAAGAAUAAGCACCGGAUAACUUCGUG
This 492-nucleotide ribosomal RNA is filed under the name uncultured bacterium. RNAcentral's name for it is "partial 16S ribosomal RNA". It matches the Rfam family "Bacterial small subunit ribosomal RNA", at positions 29 to 507 of the family's 1533-position model. The record is from RNAcentral.